CAGCCGCGGUAAUUCCAGCUCCAAUAGCGUAUAUUAAAGUUGUUGCAGUUAAAAAGCUCGUAGUUGAAUUUCGGGGUUAGUAGGUUGGUCAUGCCUCUGGUAUGCACUGGCCUCACUGAUUCCUCCUUCCUGAUGAGCCGUAAUGCCAUUAAUUUGGUGUUGCGGGAAUUUGGACUGUUACUUUGAAAAAAUUAGAGUGUUUAAAGCAAGCUAACGCUUGAAUACAUUAGCAUGGAAUAAUGAAAUAGGACGUUCGAUCCUAUUUUAGUUGGUUUCUAGGGAUUGACGUAAUGAUUAAUAGGGAUAGUUGGGGGCAUUAGUAUUCAAUUGUCAGAGGUGAAAUUCUUGGAUUUAUUGAAGACUAACUACUGCGAAAGCAUUUGCCAAGGAUGUUUUCAUUAAUCAAGAACGAAAGUUAGGGGAUCGAAGACGAUCAGAUACCGUCGUAGUCUUAACCAUAAACUAUGCCGACUAGGGAUCGGAUGAUGUUAAUUUUUAAUGACUCAUUCGGCGCCUUACG
Molecule: ribosomal RNA, 520 nt
Filed under: uncultured Glomus
Lineage: Eukaryota; Fungi; Glomeromycota; Glomeromycetes; Glomerales; Glomeraceae
Description: SSU rRNA
Rfam family: Eukaryotic small subunit ribosomal RNA
Source: RNAcentral